AGCAUAAUCAUUUGCCUUCUAAUUAAAGGCUAGAAUGAAAGGACAAACGAGGUUUAACCUGUCUCUAUAUUUCCCAUAAAAAUUAACUUUUAGGUGAAGAGGCCUAAAUUAUCUAAAAAGACAAGAAGACCCUGUUGAGUUUUAUUUUUACACAAACAAAAUUUUGUUGGGGCGACCAAGGAAUAAACAAAACUUCCUUCUUAAUAAAGAGCCAUAUCUCUAAUAAAUUGACCCUUUAUUGAUCAACAGAAUAAACUACCACAGGGAUAACAGGCUUAUUUUCUUUAAGAGUUCACAUUGAUAAGAAAGAGUUUUGCCACCUCGAUGUUGGCUUAGGAUACCUCUAAAAUGCAGAAGUUUUAAUGAGUAAGUUUGUUCAACUUUUAAAAU
This 390-nucleotide ribosomal RNA is filed under the name Leanira sp. 4 PB. Its description in RNAcentral is "partial 16S ribosomal RNA". It matches the Rfam family "Bacterial large subunit ribosomal RNA", at positions 1958 to 2594 of the family's 2925-position model. Lineage: Eukaryota; Metazoa; Annelida; Polychaeta; Phyllodocida; Sigalionidae. The record is from RNAcentral.